RNAcentral lists this ribosomal RNA (253 nucleotides) under uncultured bacterium. Its description in RNAcentral is "partial 16S ribosomal RNA". It matches the Rfam family "Bacterial small subunit ribosomal RNA", at positions 524 to 776 of the family's 1533-position model. The record is from RNAcentral.
UACGAAGGGGGCUAGCGUUGCUCGGAAUCACUGGGCGUAAAGGGUGCGUAGGCGGGUCUUUAAGUCAGGGGUGAAAUCCUGGAGCUCAACUCCAGAACUGCCUUCGAUACUGGGAGUCUCGAGUCCGAGAGAGGUGAGUGGAACUGCGAGUGUAGAGGUGAAAUUCGUAGAUAUUCGCAAGAACACCAGUGGCGAAGGCGGCUCACUGGCUCGGUACUGACGCUGAGACGCGAAAGCGCGGGGAGCGAACGGG